UACAGAGGUCUCAAGCGUUGUUCGGAAUUACUGGGCGUAAAGGGUGCGCAGGCCGCGCGGGCAGUCAAAUGUGAAAUUCCGGGGCUCAACCUCGGAAUUGCGCUUGAUACUUCCGUGCUAGAACCUUGGAGAGGGAUCUGGAAUUCUCGGUGUAGCAGUGAAAUGCGUGGAUAUCGAGAAGAACACUAAGGGCGUAAGCAAGAUCCUGGACAAGUGUUGACGCUCAUGCACGAAGGCUAGGGUAGCGAACGGG
This 253-nucleotide ribosomal RNA is filed under the name uncultured Verrucomicrobium sp. RNAcentral's name for it is "partial 16S ribosomal RNA". It matches the Rfam family "Bacterial small subunit ribosomal RNA", at positions 524 to 776 of the family's 1533-position model. Lineage: Bacteria; Pseudomonadati; Verrucomicrobiota; Verrucomicrobiia; Verrucomicrobiales; Verrucomicrobiaceae. The record is from RNAcentral.